RNAcentral lists this ribosomal RNA (253 nucleotides) under uncultured bacterium. RNAcentral describes it as "partial 16S ribosomal RNA". It matches the Rfam family "Bacterial small subunit ribosomal RNA", at positions 524 to 776 of the family's 1533-position model. The record is from RNAcentral.
UACAGAGGUGGCGAGCGUUACUCGGAUUUAUUGGGUGUAAAGGGCAAGUAGGCGUGUCAACAAGUUAGAAGUGAAAUCCUGCAGCUCAACUGCAGAACUGCUUUUAAAACUGUUGGGAUUGAGACUGGAAGAGGAAAGCGGAAUUCUCGGUGUAAGGGUGAAAUCUGUAGAUAUCGAGAGGAACACCAGUGGCGAAGGCGGCUUUCUGGUCCAUUACUGACGCUGAGUUGCGAAAGCUAGGGGAGCAAACAGG